RNAcentral lists this ribosomal RNA (467 nucleotides) under uncultured bacterium. RNAcentral's name for it is "partial 16S ribosomal RNA". It matches the Rfam family "Bacterial small subunit ribosomal RNA", at positions 28 to 507 of the family's 1533-position model. The record is from RNAcentral.
GAUGAACGCUGGCGGCGCGCCUAACACAUGCAAGUCGAACGAUUAAAGCACCUUCGGGUGUGUAUAACGUGGCGAAAAGGUGAGUAACACGUGGGAAACCUGCCCCUUUCAUUGGGAUAGACCCGGGAAAAAGUGGAUCAUACAGAAGACUUCGAGACUUGCGCAUGGAAGAGUCGAGAAAGCUUCGGCGGGGGGGGAUGGGCCCGCGGCCUGUUAGCUUGUUGGUGGGGGAAUGGCCUACCAAGGCAAUGACGGGUAGCUGGGCUGAGAGGGUGACCAGCCACAUUGGGACUGAGAUACGGCCCAGACUCCUACGGGAGGCAGCAGUGGGGAAUCUUGCACAAUGGGCGAAAGCCUGAUGCAGCAACGCCGCGUGCGGGAUGACGGCCUUCGGGUUGUAAACCGCUUUCAGCUGUGACGAGGCGAAAGUGACGGUAAUGGGUGAAGAAGCCCCGGCUAACUACGUG